UUGUUUGGAGAGUUUGAUCCUGGCUCAGGACGAACGCUGGCGGCGUGCUUAACACAUGCAAGUCGAACGGAAAGGUCUCUUCGGAGAUACUCGAGUGGCGAACGGGUGAGUAACACGUGGGUGAUCUGCCCUGCACUUCGGGAUAAGCCUGGGAAACUGGGUCUAAUACCGGAUAGGACCACGGGAUGCAUGUCUUGUGGUGGAAAGCGCUUUAGCGGUGUGGGAUGAGCCCGCGGCCUAUCAGCUUGUUGGUGGGGUGACGGCCUACCAAGGCGACGACGGGUAGCCGGCCUGAGAGGGUGUCCGGCCACACUGGGACUGAGAUACGGCCCAGACUCCUACGGGAGGCAGCAGUGGGGAAUAUUGCACAAUGGGCGCAAGCCUGAUGCAGCGACGCCGCGUGGGGGAUGACGGCCUUCGGGUUGUAAACCUCUUUCAGUAGGGACGAAGCGAAAGUGACGGUACCUACAGAAGAAGGACCGGCCAACUACGUGCCAGCAGCCGCGGUAAUACGUAGGGUGCGAGCGUUGUCCGGAAUUACUGGGCGUAAAGAGCUCGUAGGUGGUUUGUCGCGUU
This 576-nucleotide ribosomal RNA is filed under the name Mycobacterium tuberculosis. RNAcentral describes it as "bacterial SSU rRNA". It matches the Rfam family "Bacterial small subunit ribosomal RNA", at positions 1 to 589 of the family's 1533-position model. Lineage: Bacteria; Bacillati; Actinomycetota; Actinomycetes; Mycobacteriales; Mycobacteriaceae. The record is from RNAcentral.